GUUCUUGUACGAUCACUGAAGUUAAGCAACAUCGAGCCUGGUCAGUACCUAGAUGGGUGACCUCUUGGGAAUACCAGGUGAUGUAAG
This 87-nucleotide ribosomal RNA is filed under the name Acanthosepion pharaonis. The record is from RNAcentral. Lineage: Eukaryota; Metazoa; Mollusca; Cephalopoda; Sepiida; Sepiidae.